This 2325-nucleotide ribosomal RNA is filed under the name Triticum aestivum (bread wheat). RNAcentral describes it as "partial small subunit ribosomal RNA". Lineage: Eukaryota; Viridiplantae; Streptophyta; Magnoliopsida; Poales; Poaceae. The record is from RNAcentral.
AUGCGGCCGUCGCCCAUGGCGGCAAGGGCGGCGAGCGGGUGCUCCUCGGCGGCGCUGGCCUUCUUCCGCAUCCGCCCGCUCGGCCGCGCCGCCCGCCUGGGCCCCGCGGGCCGCUCCGCGUUCGGCGCCACUGCCGCCUGCCGGGGCCGCCUCGUCGACUCCGUCCUCCAGGAGCUCCGGUCCCGGAGGCGGGUCCGGGUCUCCGCAAGGAUAGGAUUGCAGGGCACAAAGGAACUGUCGGAUAGUAAGAUAGAGAAGAGAACAAUACAAAAAGGAUUGCUGCUUGAAUUUCACAAAGACUCUGAGAGAUCCUUGCUCGCUGUUGUCGAAAGGCCUGAUGGGAAGAAAAACUGGGUAGUCACUGACCAGAAUGGUAUCUUAUCUUCUAUAAAGCCCCAGCAGGUGACAUAUGUUGUACCUGGUACCAUGGAUUUUGAUUGUUCAAGAAUAGCUGAAUUUCUCGAGAAAGCGCAAGAUCUCUUGGACCCUACUAUCUUGGAAUGUGCCUGGAUGGAGCUUUCUGAGAAGGACAAAUCAGUAACUGUUGAGGAGUUUGCCGAUAUAGUUUAUGGCAGCAAGGAGUCUCUGGAAAGCUACUGUGCACACUUUUUGUUGUCACGGGAUAUUGUUUAUUUUGUGAAGGUGGAGAGCAGAGGCUCUUCCAUAUACCAGCCUCGCCCAUCUGCUCAGGUGGAUGAACUUUUACGACGGAAGCUUGCUAAAGAGGCCGCCGAUAAGGAACUGGAAGAAUUUGUCCACCUACUCAAGUCUGCUAAAGCAUUGCCUCUAGGCUCUAAGCCUCCAAAAAAUUCAUGGUUGAUGGAAGAGAAAGUGAAACAAAAAAUCGAGUCUCUUCAGGCAUAUGCAGUUGAUGCGUGUAAUGAUGAACAAAGAAGAAUGGCAGGAAAUAUUCUCAAGGCUAUGGGUUUUGCACGGACGUCAUCAGCUGCCCUAAAGCUCCUUAUAAAUGUGGGUUACUUCCCCGUGCAUGUCAAUCUUGAUCUUUUCAGGUAUGAUGUUCAAACCACGUAUACCGAGAAAGUUUUGUCUGUUGCUGAGGAGCUUCUGGUGGAUUGUCCUGAUUCAGAUAAGCAUGUCAGGAAGGAUCUUUCAAAUUUGAGAGUGUAUGCCAUUGAUGUGGAUGAGGCUGAUGAACUUGAUGAUGCAUUAAGUGCAACUAGACUACCUGAUGGUAGGAUAAAGAUCUGGAUACAUGUAGCUGACCCAACAUGCUUUCUUCAACCCCGGAGCAUCCUUGACAGGGAAGCAAUGCACAGAGGAACCUCCAUAUUUUUACCAACUGCCACCUUUCCAAUGUUCCCAGAGAGGCUUGCUAUGAAUGCUAUGAGUUUGCAACAGGGUACAGAUUGUAGAUCUGUAAGCGUAUCUGUGAUUUUGCAUCCAGAUGGAAGUAUUGCAGAAUAUUCGAUAGAGAACUCAGUAAUCAAACCUACCUACAUGUUAACAUAUGAGGGUGCAACUGAAUUGCUGUACAUGAAUCUGGAAGAAGAGGAAGACCUGAGGAUUCUUCAAGAAGCUGCUUCAAUUCGUGCACAAUGGCGUCGUAGCCAGGGUUCAAUCGACACUGCUAUGAUAGAACCUCGUAUCAAGGUGGCAAAUCCUGAUGAUCCUGAACCAAACAUUAAUUUAUAUGUUGAAGAUCAAACCAACCCAGCAAUGCAGCUUGUAUCUGAGAUGAUGAUACUUUGUGGGGAGGCGGUGGCUGCGUUUGGUUCUGACAACAACAUUCCUUUGCCAUACAGAGGGCAUCCCCAGUCUAAUACAGCUGUGUCAGCAUUUGCCUAUCUACCUGAAGGGCCUGCCAGGAGCGUUGCCAAUAUCAGUGUGCUUCGUGCUGCAGAAAUGGAUUUUCGAAAACCUGUCGCACAUGGUGUCCUCGGAAUUCCUGGCUAUGUACAGUUCACCUCCCCUAUUCGAAGAUAUGUCGACCUGCUUGCUCAUUAUCAGGUAAAGGCUUUUCUUAGAGGUGAAUCUCCACCAUAUUCAGCUGGUGAUCUGGAAGGGAUGACAUUUAUUGCGAGCAUGCAUGUUAAAGUAGCUAGGAAGCUCCAUAGCAACAGCUUACGUUACUGGUUGCUGGAGUACUUAAGGAGGCAGCCAAAGGGGAGGAAGUAUAGAGCACUCAUACUUAAGUUCAUCAAGGAUCGCAUGGCAACAUUGCUUUUGGUGGAUGUCGGGAUUCAGGUCACAACUGUGGUUGCAGCCGGGAAGGUGGGAGAUGAAGCAAGUGUCGUUCUGGAAAUGGUUCAUCCCCGCGACGACAUCUUAUCAGUUACGGAGAUUGCACAAGACACGGAGGAGUAA